Molecule: ribosomal RNA, 311 nt
Filed under: Escherichia coli
Lineage: Bacteria; Pseudomonadati; Pseudomonadota; Gammaproteobacteria; Enterobacterales; Enterobacteriaceae
Description: bacterial SSU rRNA
Rfam family: Bacterial small subunit ribosomal RNA
Source: RNAcentral
UUAAAUUGAAGAGUUUGAUCAUGGCUCAGAUUGAACGCUGGCGGCAGGCCUAACACAUGCAAGUCGAACGGUAACAGGAAGCAGCUUGCUGCUUCGCUGACGAGUGGCGGACGGGUGAGUAAUGUCUGGGAAACUGCCUGAUGGAGGGGGAUAACUACUGGAAACGGUAGCUAAUACCGCAUAACGUCGCAAGACCAAAGAGGGGGACCUUCGGGCCUCUUGCCAUCGGAUGUGCCCAGAUGGGAUUAGCUAGUAGGUGGGGUAACGGCUCACCUAGGCGACGAUCCCUAGCUGGUCUGAGAGGAUGACCA